AAGCGUAAAAACAAAAUACGAAGAUAUGAAAAAGAACUUAAAGAAAAAAUUAUCAAGAAAUAAAAUGGAAACAUUUAAAACUGGCGGUGGACCUGCAAAUAUACAACCACUUACUUUUGCUGAAGAAAUUCUUUUAUCUUUUUUACCGUCCACUAUUCAAGGAUCGCCUUCCGUUUUUGAUUCUGAUAGAAUAUUAGCAGAUAAACAAAUGUCAAAACGCAAAACCUCUUUAGCAGAAACAGUUGUUAUAAAAGACAAUAUAAAUGAUGAAUCUCAAACUCAAGAUACUGAUGAUCAAUUUGAAUGGAUAUAUGAAACACUUAAUGUAGAUGAAGUUAAUGAUGAAGAUAAAACAGAAAACGCAGCCUAUUUCAGUGAUGUAGAAGAUGAUACAAAAUAUACAAAUAAAAAGCGAUUACCUUUAGAAGACGUUUUUAAUACACAUUCAAGCGCACAUGUAAAAAAAUAAAACAUACGAUAUUGAUGAUAAUAAUAUAAAAAGCGUACUUGAUUUAAAAAAUGUGAAAAAAUACGUUUCGAGAACAACCUCCAAUUCAACAGAAAAGUGUACAAAAUCAGCCAAAACCGGCGUUGAUAUUCUGAGAAAAAAAGUUAGCAAGGAACUUAAGACUGAAAAUGGGAAUGCAUCAAAAUCAAUUAUAAAAACUGAUAUUAUCAAUUUAGCAAACGCAAAAGAAGAAUUAGUGCAAUUGCAAAAAACAGCUUUAGAGACAGAUAUACAAAUUAAAGAAAGAAAUAACAAUACGCAAGAAGAGAUUUUACAAAUAGAAUUGGAAAUAAGUAAAGAAAAAUUAAAAUUUGUAAAAUUAGAGAUACAACUUAAAGAACUAGAAGUGGAGAUUAAAAAACAACAACUUACAAGGCUGCUAUAAAUAGCAUAUAUAUUAUAUUAUAUAUAUACAGUAAGGUCUCUGUUAGUAGAUAGAGUGAUGAUUUUAGAUUGUUUUACAUAUUGCUUUAUGAUUACCCUUUAUAAUUAGUGGAAAUAUUACGUUCUGUUUGUUUCACUUGCGGAAAUGGCUUUGGAUAUAUAUGCGGAACUUUUUAAAUAUGAGGAUUUUUAUUUGGAAGAUUAUGAGAUUUUGAUCCGCAUUCGCAAAUCAUAUUCGGUUCGGUUAUGACCAGAUCUUUUAAAUAUGUUUGAUGGAAAUGAAUUCAUUGCACACUUUAGGUUGUAUAAAGAAAGAGUUCUCAAAAUAAUUGAUUUUAUUUGUGAUAGAAUACAAAGAAGAACAAUGAGGUAAAUGCAAUUAAUAAUUAAAUGCUAUAAGUAAAUGCUAUAAAUAGCAACCUUGUAAUUUAUAGAUUAUCUAACUAAAAAGAUUUUAUAAUUAAGAUAUUUUAUAAUUAAGAUUUUAUAGUUAUACUCUUAUAAAAUAUUAUUUUUAUAAAAUAUAUAUUAUACUCUUCAAAGACACUGACGCAUAAUCUAAAACGCUCAUUAAAAAAAAGUUAAGUUUAUAAAAAAAAAAGAGUUAAGUUCAUAAAAAAAGAUUAUAUUUUUAUAUAAUCACUUAUAAGUUGUUGCCAAAGAGAUUUUGCAUUUUGACAUUUGCUAUAAAUAGCAGUCUUGUAAUUUAUAGCUUAUCUAACUGAAAAGAUUUUAGUUAAGAUUUUAUAGUUAUACUUACACUAACAAUAAGUGUUAUAAAAUAUAUUACUUUUUUCAAAGACUGACGCACACACAUAAUCCAAAAGUUUAUUAAAAAGUUAGAAAGUUAAGUUCAUAAAAAGA
This is a long non-coding RNA of Linepithema humile (Argentine ant), 1756 nucleotides long. RefSeq lists it as uncharacterized. The record is from RefSeq and is a predicted model, not a curated record. Lineage: Eukaryota; Metazoa; Arthropoda; Insecta; Hymenoptera; Formicidae.